This is a non-coding RNA of Caenorhabditis elegans, 139 nucleotides long. Lineage: Eukaryota; Metazoa; Nematoda; Chromadorea; Rhabditida; Rhabditidae. The record is from Ensembl.
GAUCGACGUGGGAAAAUUCGACGGGAAAAGAGAGUGGGCUUAUGAAUUAGCCACCAGUCGAUGCAGCUAACAGAAGCACACGCGCGCUCACACUCUCACCAUUCGGCGGUUUUCAGUUUCCCAAAUAACAAGGGAAAGG